UGGGGAAUAUUGCACAAUGGGCGCAAGCCUGAUGCAGCCAUGCCGCGUGUAUGAAGAAGGCCUUCGGGUUGUAAAGUACUUUCAGCGGGGAGGAAGGUGUUGUGGUUAAUAACCUCAGCAAUUGACGUUACCCGCAGAAGAAGCACCGGCUAACUCCGUGCCAGCAGCCGCGGUAAUACGGAGGGUGCAAGCGUUAAUCGGAAUUACUGGGCGUAAAGCGCACGCAGGCGGUCUGUCAAGUCGGAUGUGAAAUCCCCGGGCUCAACCUGGGAACUGCAUCCGAAACUGGCAGGCUUGAGUCUUGUAGAGGGGGGUAGAAUUCCAGGUGUAGGGUGAAAUGCGUAGAGAUCUGGAGGAAUACCGGUGGCGAAGGCGGCCCCCUGGACAAAGACUGACGCUCAGGUGCGAAAGCGUGGGGAGCAAACA
RNAcentral lists this ribosomal RNA (426 nucleotides) under uncultured bacterium. RNAcentral's name for it is "partial 16S ribosomal RNA". It matches the Rfam family "Bacterial small subunit ribosomal RNA", at positions 355 to 774 of the family's 1533-position model. The record is from RNAcentral.